Gallus gallus (chicken) is the source of this 657-nucleotide long non-coding RNA. The record is from Ensembl. NCBI's taxonomy places the organism in Eukaryota, Metazoa, Chordata, Aves, Galliformes, Phasianidae.
CAAGGGGAUUUCUUGUGGGAGAGUCUUGCUUAACUGAGGUCUUCCAAAGGCCUGCCCUUUUGCCACUGAUCUUAAUGGAAGUGGAAUCAUGCCAAAAUUGUGACUAUGGCCUCCAGAACAUAAAAUGUGAAGAACUAAGUGUUAAUAAAUCAGAAGUACUAGAGGGUCAAUCAAGAUCCUUCUCGACUGAAAUUCAAGGGUUUUAAGCAUUAUUCCACAAUCAUCAGUGUAACAAAAACAAAGUGAAAAGAAAGCCUUAAGUGGAAGCAAAAAGUCUAAACUCACCGAGUUGAAUUGCGGGUUGCAAUUUUUAAUUAAGGAUGGAACUUUAACCUGGUAGCAAUGCUAGGAGAAACUUUCUCGGGAACAGCUGCUUGUGCCCUGCCGCCUCCUGAAAUCCACUGCCGUGUUUCUGUGAGGUUCUAGAAGAUGGCUGUUCUCGUGCUCCAGAGGGCCGACGGUACCCCGGGGUGCGCGAAGCACAGCACACGCAGCGGGUCGGAAGCAGCGGCUGUCCCUCAUGCUCCUCACUGGCGCCACCCGCCCUUCAGCUGCCGCCCGCUUCCUCACAGGGCGCGUGCGGGCAGCGCGGAGCUCCGCUGUGGGACAGCAGCGCGGGAACGGCGCGGGGCCGCGUGAGGGCAGAGCGUGUGGGGG